Long non-coding RNA from Lucilia cuprina (Australian sheep blowfly), 1223 nucleotides. RefSeq lists it as uncharacterized. The transcript is spliced from 2 exons. The record is from RefSeq and is a predicted model, not a curated record. NCBI's taxonomy places the organism in Eukaryota, Metazoa, Arthropoda, Insecta, Diptera, Calliphoridae.
UCCAUACUAUUCUUCUUAUUGAUUUCUUUGACUGAUUGUUCCUUGGAAUAGAUUGGUUGUAGAAAUUAUGUCGUUUAAUUAUUUAAUCGAUAAGCUGAAUUAUCCAUCUCUGAUGAGAUGCAUUUAACGAGAUAUUAACUAAUGUUACACGAAAGGGACUCGUUUUAAUGCAAAACGAUUAAAUUUAUUAAAAUUACACACACAACAUUCUGGAAAGAGUGAUGAAUGGGGCAUGAGGGGCAUAACAAACAACACAGAGCAACUAAGUCAGCAACAAGAAUAACAGCAGUAACAACAUUGUUGGACUUCGGGUACUACAGCUAGUAGUAGCAGUAGUAGUGCUAUGCUUGCUAUAAUCAUAGUAGUAGUACGACUCCAACUAGAAGCCAAAGCACACAACUCUCUUCUGAAAUUUUUUAUAAGUUUUCUGCAUGCAAUUCAUUCUCCUUAUGUUUUUUACCAUGAUGUUCAUGAUGAUGACUGGCUGGUUGACUAGCUGGCUGUAUGCUUUUGGACAUGUUGUUUAGUGUAAGUUUUGCAAUGUUACAGUAAGGACGCGUUUUUUCGCUUUUGCCAAUAUUGUGUGUGGCAAAAAUUCGUUUAACUUUAACGGCUUGUAAAGAAGAAAUACAUUUAAAAAAACUAAACAUGUUUUUAGAGGAACAUCGAAGAAAACUAAAAGAUUCUUGAUAAGUGAAAGAAUAAAAUAAAUAUAAAAAGGAAAAAGAUUCCUCUUGUAAUAAAACUAAGAAACGAAAAAGAAUAUAUUUGAAAAAAGUUUGUAAGAAACGAAAACUGUUGCAAAAAAAACCGGUUAAUUAAAAAAGACUUAAACAUAAAAUAGUGUAGAAGUAUAAAAGGAGAAUUUUAAGAAAAUAAAAAAAAAUAAAUUCCAAAUAAAAACAAAAAAAUAAGAAAGCAAGAAUUUACAAAAAAAAAAAAAAAAAAUAAAUAAAUAAAAAAUUAAAAACAAAAUAUUGUAUAUGUGAAUAAAAUUUAAAUAAUUAUUAAAUUACAUUCUACUUCCUAUUCUCCAAAGGAAAAUUUAAGUUUAAAUAAAAGUCAGGCUCUGAAUUGCUAACAUUGCUGUUAACUUGUCCUGUAAAAUUUUUAUCAUCUAAAUAAUAUUUCAUAAAAAUAGUGCAAAAAAAUAUAUAUAUAUUUAUUUAAAACAAACUCCAACCUACACCAGCAGCUGUAAUUUGAAAUAGAAAUAAAAUAAG